GAUGAACGCUGGCGGCGUGCCUAAUACAUGCAAGUCGAGCGAACAGACGAGGAGCUUGCUCCUCUGACGUUAGCGGCGGACGGGUGAGUAACACGUGGAUAACCUACCUAUAAGACUGGGAUAACUUCGGGAAACCGGAGCUAAUACCGGAUAAUAUAUUGAACCGCAUGGUUCAAUAGUGAAAGACGGUUUUGCUGUCACUAUAGAUGGAUCCGCGCCGCAUUAGCUAGUUGGUAAGGUAACGGCUUACCAAGGCAACGAUGCGUAGCCGACCUGAAAGGGUGAUCGGCCACACUGGAACUGAGACACGGUCCAGACUCCUACGGGAGGCAGCAGUAGGGAAUCUUCCGCAAUGGGCGAAAGCCUGACGGAGCAACGCCGCGUGAGUGAUGAAGGUCUUCGGAUCGUAAAACUCUGUUAUUAGGGAAGAACAAAUGUGUAAGUAACUAUGCACGUCUUGACGGUACCUAAUCAGAAAGCCACGGCUAACUACGUG
This 496-nucleotide ribosomal RNA is filed under the name uncultured bacterium. RNAcentral describes it as "partial 16S ribosomal RNA". It matches the Rfam family "Bacterial small subunit ribosomal RNA", at positions 28 to 507 of the family's 1533-position model. The record is from RNAcentral.